This 208-nucleotide unclassified non-coding RNA is filed under the name Hevea brasiliensis (rubber tree). The record is from RNAcentral. Lineage: Eukaryota; Viridiplantae; Streptophyta; Magnoliopsida; Malpighiales; Euphorbiaceae.
CCAAAAAAAAAAAAAAAAAACUUAGCAUAACAUUGGCUGAAUCUUUUUGGAGCUCUUGGUUCUUCUAUGAAGUAAUGUGACUGGGUAUGAAAAGAGGGAGAAAAUACAGUGGAUUUAGGGGAGAAAAGAAUCAGGAAGAGGAAUGACACGAAAGACAAACCUCUGGUACCAUAUUGAUGUAUAUAGCUUCUUCUCUGUUCUAAAUAAU